AAAAAAAAAAAAAAAAGCUCUGGAUUUGGAUUCAAGAGAACUGAUUUGAGUCUUGCCUCAGGAAUUCUUCUGGGUAUUUGUGGGUAGAUUAGAAAUGCUCUGAGCCUCAGUUUCCUUAUCUGUAAAAUGGGCACAUGCUUUUCGAUGAUCAAGUGAUUCCUGGGACCCAUUAAAUUCCCCCAGGCAGGCUGGGCACGGUGGCUUAUGCCUGUAAUCCCAGCACUUUGGGAGUCCGAAGUGGGCAGAUCAGUUGAGGUCAGGAGUUCCAGACCAGCCCGGCCAACAUGGUGAAACCCUGUCUCUACUAAAAAUAUGAAAAUUAGCUGGGCAUGGUGGGGCACCCCUGUAAUUCUAGCUAGGUGAGAGAAUUGCUUGAGCCCCAUCAGGGGUGGUUGAGGGGGCAGCGGCAGAGGUUGCAGAGAGCUGAGAUCGCGCCACUGCAUUCCAGCCUGGGCAAUAAGCGAGACUCUGUCUCCAAAAAAAAAAAAAUAUUCCCCCAGGCAGCAGUUGAAUCAUAAAUAAUCAAUACCCAAAUCAGUGAGGAAGAAGAGAGAAUUGUGGCUGUAGUAUUCAUAUAGUUACGUGAUUUGGGCAGCAAGUAACAGAAAACCUACACUGGCUGGGAAAAAAAAGGAUAUUAAUUGUGUCAGCAGGAUAUCCCAAGUUAGGGAGGAUAUUAAGGCUGAUAAAUUCAGGGUCUCUGUGAUUCAUUAAGGACCCAGUUCUGUCCCUCAUGUACUCCUUCAGCAUUUAAGUAUGGAUUCCAACCACGCGUCAGGCACUGUGCGAGGCAACGCCCGCCUGGUGUGCUGGCUUUUUUGUUACACCAGCUUUCCUCAAGGACACAAGAUGGUGCCCUUGAUCCAGACAUCACAUCCAGAUUCAGUCUCAUUCAGUAGAAGGGAAGACAGCUCUUCCUGUCUCUUUUUCCCUGAAGUGUCCUAGCUGGCCUCUCCUCUUGUAUUAUUGACCAGAAUUGUGUCAUGUGUCCCACGCUUCAGCCAAUCAGCAGGCAGGAAACAGCAAUUGGCCUAAAGAAGCAGAUGGCGAUAUGGAGGAAGGAAGUGACUCCAGCCAGGUCUGGGUUCUAUGAGAAAGAGGAUGUGCGAAUUGAUAUUGCCUAGGCAACCAGUAGCAUCUACUACAGUCCUUUUUGCAAAUGUCCACCCUCCACCCCAACAUUGUCAUCAAGAAUGGCUGUGGCUCAUUCUGGGUCUGUGAAGAGGUCACUUCUCUAGGGGCGGAUGGGAUGGGCCUGCCAACAAAAUCAAAACACCCUCCCAACUCAAAAAGACUCAGUAACUUCUAAGGUGAGUGUUUAAUUCAUUUAUUUUCAUUAUUUUAUUUUAUGAGACAGGGUCUCACUCUGUCGCCCAGACUGGAGUGCAGUGGCAUGAUCUUGGCUCACUGCAACCUCCGCCUCCCAGGCUUAAGCAAUUCUCUUGCCUCAGCCUCCUGAGUAGCUGAGAUUACAGGCACAUGCCACUAUCUCCUGGCUAAUUAUUUUUAUUUUUUUAUAAUGAAAUAAUUUUGGCUAUGAAUUUUCCUAUGAGUACACUUUUAGCCAUGUAGUAAGUUUUUCCAACUGUGAUCUUUCUAAAUAUUCAAUGAUUUGGAUAUUGACUAUGACUAAAUAGCUGUGUGGGGGAACUUAAAAAUCUGCAAGUCAUUGGGAUUUUGUUUGUUGCAGUAAAAUCUUAAAGAUGACCUUUCCCAAUGUUCUCAAAGUGUGGGACAUGCGCUGGUGGUAUGCCAGAAUAUUCUCAGGUGAUACAAUGGACAUAGGAUCACACUUAAAAAACCCAUAUUCUCUUUUCAGUUCUGUGUAUUCCCUGACUGUAUCAAGGUCUCAGUUUGGUGCUUCUGUGUUUGAAUGCCUUCCCAACAUUCACUAAUCUUUGUUUUCAAAUAGAGAAAAGCCUUAGGCUCAGAACCUCUGGAAGGACAUGGUAUCUAGGAAUAACUUAAAAACAUUUUAAUUUCGUGGCUGGGCAUGGUGGCUCAUGCCUGUAAUCCUAGCGCUUUGGGAGGCCAAGGCAGGUGGAUCACCUUAGGUCAGGAGUUCAAGACCAUCCUGGCCAACAUGGUGAAACCCCAUCUCUACUAAAACUACAAAAAAAAAAAAAAUCAGCUGGGUGUGGUGGUGUGCACCUGUAAUCCCAGGUACUCGAGAGGCUGAGGCAGGAGAAUCACUUGAACCUGAGAGGUGGAGGUUGCAGUGAGCCAAGAUCGCGCCACUUCACUCCAGCCUGGGUGACAGAGUGAGACUGUGUCUCAAAAAUAAAUAAAUAAAUAAAAUAAAAAACAUUUUAAUUUCAUUUUAUUUUUAGAGUAAUAAAGCCUUCUCUUUAUGGCAAAUGAUACAGUUUUCUAGAUAAAGUAGUGGUCUCAAGUGUAGUUUACAAGCAAGUCAUUUAAUAAUAAAAAUAUAGCUUAUAAAAAAAGAAUACUUAGAUGAUUUAAGGAACUAUAUUAAAUGAAUAAACGUUCAUGGGGAAAAUUAUGACUAUGUUAUAGAAAUGAUUGAUAUUUGGGAAUCAUUAAUUUAUCCCAACUCUAUAUCCACGCUUGAUCCCUUUUUACCACCAAGCCUACACCUCUCUGUUUGCAUACCUCCUGUGACAGGAGGUUCAUCGUCUCUGAAGACUGUAAAAAAGCAGCAUCCUUAGUUUAAAUGCCCUUCUCCGUUCUCCUGACCUGUGUGCCCUUUGCAGUCUAACUUUGUGAUGUCCUCCCACCGAGGGCAAAGCAUAAUUUCCCAUACCCGGGGUUGAGCAUGUGACUUGUCUUGACCAAUGGGAUGUUAGCAGACAUGCCAGGGCCAGCCCUCAGGAAGAGGAUAAGAGACACCCAAGUCACCCCAGGCAACCUAGCUGAGAUCAGAGGAACCCGGCAGCUGCAUGAGAAAUUAAUGUUUUUGGAUACCACAGGUUUUUUAUGAUUGUGUGUGUGUGUGUGUGUGUGUUUUAAGUGCAGGCAGCAAUAGCUAAUGGUUACAGACACUAGAAGAGAGAGUAAAUAGAACACAGGCAGGCCAAAAAAACUAAAUGUCUACUAUAUUCCGUAUUAUAGAUGAGGAAACAGGUUCAAAGAGAUGAAGACUCUUGCCCAGGGCACCUGGAUGCUAAGCAGUGGAGUUGGGACCUGAACCCAGGCAUUCUGUCUUCAGAACCCAUGCUGGAGAGAAAGCGCUCUGGUCCCUGGGCAGUGAGAGGAAUCCAGUGUCACUGAGGACAACGAAGUGAUCUUUGUUCAUCCCAAGCUUUUGAGAUAGAAAUAAGAGGGAGGGCAGUGAUGGAGCCAGAGGUCAGGAUGGGAGAGGCACUGACUGGUGGAGACCCAAGCCCCAGGAUUGAGGGGUGGAAGGCUGGCUCAGGAGAGGCCAGGCUGGGAGUCUUGUGUUCUUAGAGGGAAUCAGAGAAAGGGGGAAGCAAUAUGGAUAAGGCAACUGCCAUGUGUUAGACGCCGUGCUCAGUGUUUGGGAUUCAUAAUCUCAGGAACCGUGUGCGGGAGCUCAUGAACCAGUGUUUGUACCAUCCUAGAAAUCAUGCCCCCUCUUUGUUACAACACCUGAGCCAAUCACCAUGACUCUCCUUCCCUUACUAGGUAUCGGUGUGGGAAUAGCCAUGUGACCCAGUUUUGCCCCAUGAGACAAGCGGGGAGGUCUGCUGGGGGAGGGGGAAUUCUGGGAAAAGUUUCUGGGAAAGUAAGAGAAAUCUAGGAAAAGACUGUCCUCUCUGUUGCUGGUCACUAUUGCAUCUGGAUGUGAUACCCGGAACUGCAGCAGCCACUUUGUGCCCCUGAGGGGCCUUGACAGAACACAAAGAUGAAAAGGACAUUGGUCCCUGAUGACACCAUUGAGCUGCUGCUUUAACCAACUGUGAGGCCACCCUGCCUUAAGGCUUCUUAUGAUUAUUCCAGAGAAUAAAUGUUCUUUCUCAUUUAAACCAGUUGAGUCAGGGGGAUUUUCUGAUAUUUGGCCCAAAUCAUGCUGAUACAAGUACAAAUUUGUAUCCCCAUUUUACAGAUGAAGAAAGUGAGACCCAAUCAAGUAAAUGCCCAUGACUAAGGACACAUAGCCUGGAUGUGGUGGAGUUGAACCUUUCUAGGGCGUGGCAGGAUUUUUUUUUUUAAAUAUACUUAGUGUUUUUGGCCUUUCCAAAGCAGGCACACAUUCUAUUUCUCCAUAGCAGCAGGCUGUAAUGGCUGCUAACAGGUAAGGGCAGGAGAGGUUGGGGUUUGGAGCGGGGACUCAAACCCAGGUCCGCAGAUCUCAGCUUAGGGUCUUCUUAGCACCUCAAGGUUCUUAGUGACAUUAGGGAGUCCCCGUUCUGUUGGCACCGCUUAGUUUUGGGGGUACACCCCUUGGAUCCCACAGAUCUGCCCUUGGCUAGCACAGGGUAAGGCUGCUGAGGUCCCGGAGAUUGGUCACCAGGGGCCGCUGUUGUCACACUCAGGGGCCUCCUCAGAGGGGUUCAGAAGGAAGCUUGGAACCUGGGGAUGUGAUCAGGAAGACUCCCUGUGAGCACCCUGUUGGGUGUGCCCUGAGGCUUUGAGACAGGAAAUAUCCCACCCCCACCCUCGUACCCUCACCCCAAGAAGGAGAGAAGGUGGCCUCGACUGCCUCUGGAGCGUUCAGGACCAAGUUGCUGUGUGCCUUCAGGCAAGUUGCCUCCCCUCUCUGAACCUCAGUUUCCUCUCUUUCAAAAUAAGAGUACUCACCCCUACUUCUCAAAUGUGGCUUCUUCCUCUUCCCUGAGGGCCUUCCCCUUCUUUUGUGCCUAAUUCAAUAUGAGGGACAGGACCAGUUAGGGCGUACUAGAAAUGAGACCCAGCCACCCAGGUCAGGGUUGGGUUCCAGUCCUUGCUCUGCCACAAACUCAUUAUGAGUCCUUGCAGUGUAAUUGGGGAAACUGAGGUCCAGAGAGGAGAAAGGACUUACCCAGUUUCCCCAAUUGCAAUACAAGAGGCAGGACUCAGCAUUUCCUGAAGUCUUGUUUGUUCCAUGGGGUGUAAAUAGGUGGAAACAAAAACUUAGGUGGUCAAAAAAGUUAGGGAAAUGCUGGGUUAAAGCUAAAAGGGGGCUGGGCGUGGUGGCUCAUGCCUGUAAUCCCAGCACUUUGGGAGGCCUUCAAGGCAGGCAGAUCACUUGAGGUCAGGAGUUUGAGACCAGCCUGGUCAACAUGGCAAAACCCCAUCUCUACUAAAAAUACAAAAAUUAGCCAGGUGUAGUGGAGCAUGCCUGUAAUCCCAGCUAAUCAGGAGGCUGAGGCAGGAGAACCACUUGAACCUGGAAGGCAGAGGUUACAGUGAGCCGAGACUGUGCCACUGCAAAGAAGUUAAAAGGGAAUCUUGCCUGCAGGAUCUGUUAGCAUCUUUAAUAUGUUAAUGCGAUUUGUGUAUCUCCAAGAGCCGGGAUAGGCAUCUGUUUCUCAAACUCUUUUGACUGGGAAACCCACUUUCCAAGGUGACUUGGAAGUCAGCUGCACUAGGCAAGGAUGGGAAUACUCCACCUUUGUUAUAUGUCUUUUACCUAAUGGCUCUGUGCUACCCAGGGGAUUUGACCACCUGUCUCCUAAGUUAAACCUCACAUGGUACAUACAUUAAAAUAUUAGCCUCAUUUUAUUUUAUGAGACGAGGUCUUGUUCUGUUGCCCAGGCUGUAGUGCAGUGGUGCGAUCAUGGCUCACUGCAGCCUUGACCUCCUGGGCUCAAGUGAUCCUCCCACCUCAGCCUUCUGAGUAUCUGGGACUACAGGCACACACUACACCCAGCUAAUCUUAAAAUUGUUUGUACAGAUAGGGGUCUCGUGAUACUGCCCAAGCUGGUCUUGAACUCCUGGGCUCAAGUGAUCCUCCAGCCUUUGCUUCCCAAAGUGCUGGGAUUACAGGUAUGAGCCACAGCUCCCCGUUGGAGCCUCAUUUUACAGUUGGGAAAUAGAUGACUCAGGAGUGAUCACUUGCCUGAGGUCACACACACCUGCACACAGCCUCAGGAUGGAACGAGUUCUGACCCUCAGACAACUACAUCCCACAGCACUCAGAGGGGUCCUCUUACAGGACGAAUCUGCCCUAUCAUCCUGACCACACAUCACCUGAUGCCACCUCACUCCUCCAGGUGCCACCACUUCCUUCAACAGAUCUGGAAAUUGAGGCUCAGAGAGGCACACAAGUCACCCAGGGUCACACGUGGAGUCAGUGGGAUACUAAGUUCCGUUUUCUUGCCUCCUCCCCUCCCCCUGCCACUCGCUGGCGAGCUGGUGAUGGUGGCAAUUUAAACAGAAAACCUUUCGUCCCUUGCUCUCACCUAUCGCGCUGGCUGGACUCCACCUUCUCCGGCCAACGUUGGGGGUGGGACGGGGUGUGGGCCCUUUAAGAGCGCCCGGGAGGGAUGGGCAGGCGCAGUGGUGCUGGGCACACGUGGAGCUGCGCGUGGAGGAGUCCAGGCUGCAGCCGAGGGAGCUGAGUAGGGCAAAGUUAGGAGUCGCUGUUUGGAUGGCAAGUUCAGAAGUUGGAACUUGUCUCAGUUUCCCCGCUCCAGAAAUGGGGUUGUGAUAUAAAGACAGGGAUAUGAGUGAAGAAAACACAGAGCCACCCUGGAAAGGUGAGUGUCUACUAACAUAGCUUCCUCUAUCCAAAUCUGCGCCUGAGCCCCCGUGGCCUUCUGGGGCAGCUCUGAUCUCUCUGUAAGGUCACCUGUCUCUGACCUGGGGUGAUCUUCUAAUGGUCACUAUGACAGGAAGUGAUAGCCGAGGUUUUCUGCACACCAGGCUACCGUAUUGGACAGCUCCGUGGUAAAGGGUGUGAGCCCAGGACAGCUAAGUAGAGAGAGAAGGAUCCUAGUGUCAGAACAGAGACCUAGAGAAGGACUGCAGCUCCUGCCCGGGGCCUGGAUGAGAUGGUGGCUUCUCCUCUCUUUCUCCCUCACCCACCGGGAUGUCUGGGCAGUUGGGGCUCUGGGAUCCAAGGCUGUGCCUGGGUUCUGGAGCCAAAUUGGCCACAUUUGGCGGUUGACAGUUGUUUUCUAUUCUCUGCAAAGGGUUGCAGCUGGGAACUAGGACUCAGAAUCAGACAGGCCUGUGUUCUAUCCCAGCCACUUCUCCAUUCUUCAUCCUCAGCUGUGUGACUUUGGGCAAAGUGAUUGCCCUUCUGUGGGUCUCACUAACCUUGUCUGUAAUGUGGGUGCAUGCACCUCUGUUGCGCCGAGUGGUUGUGAGGCACAAGUAACGUUUAGCCCCGAGCCUGGUAUCUGGUCUGCCUGUAGUUAAGUGUGGGAUCUCAGUAAUUGUAGCAGUGAUAGCAAUGCUUUCGUCACCUGUCCUCCCCCCAUCAAUGUGGUAAUCAAAGGUGAUUGAUUGUAUAAAGAAACCAUGCUAGAAUGGCCACCGGAGGGCACUUUGAGAUCAGCCAGCCCAGUUCCUAGAUGGGGAAACUGAGGCCCAAGGAGGCACAGGUAGUCAGGGCUAGAGCCCCAGCUGGGUUCCUGGGCCCAGACCCAGACUGUGCCAUGCGCCCCUACAUUGCCACGCACACAGACCCCACCCUGUGGAGGAUGAGGAGGUUUUUCCAGGAUAGCAGGUGCAUCCUUUGCUCUGAUAUCCAAAUAUGAGGGACCGGGCAUGGAGAGUGGCUCCAGCCUCUCCCGUUUCCCCUCUCCUGAUGCCCCAGUGUGGGUACGCCUGGCAGUUGACCAAGGACAUGGGGACCUGGGUGACCAAGUUGGUGCUUGGGUGGCCCCAGUGGUGACACCUGGGAACAGCUGAGACAUAGGCCACCUCCCAGUGUAACACCUGGCCCUAGACCUUGGUUUCCUGCCCCACUCCCUCCCCGAGUGCUCACACUGUGCUUUUGUCUGCUUGAAUUCCAUCUCUGGUUCUGGUGCCGCCCCCCCUUGGGAAAUGGAUUGGUUAGGGUCACUCACGGUGGCAUUAUCAGGAUUGGAACCCAAGUCUAGCUCACUGCAGAGGCUGGGCCUGCUGGGCUUGCCCCGUCCAGGCUCCCCCGGGUUCCGGCUGCACCCAGGCGGGCUUUGAUUAUGAAUGAGGGUGGGGGUGGGGCUUGCAGCCAGAACACCUCGCUCCCUCUCAACAUCCUCGUGGCCGUUGGUCAGGUUGUGUCCUCAUCUGUAAAAUGGGCCUGAUUUUAUCAUCUACCUGAUAGACUCAAGUGAGGUCAGAAAAGCACUCUGUCAAUUGCAGUUUAUACUAGUUAUGUCCUAUUUGUGAUGAUUCCCGGUUGCCUUCCAUGGAGCUCUGCUUUUCCCAGCUCCUCACCCUGCAGGGCCCGGCUCCUGCUCCCCAGGGGCUGGGGUGAUGUGCUUGGCUCAUUGACCCAGUGCAGAAGGGCCUGGGUCCCGCCCUGGACACAGUCCCUUCCUCUCGGAGCCUCUGUUUCCUCUUCUGUGGACUGGGUAGCAUGUGCUGCCCGACGUGGAUGCCUGGUCUCAGGGAGGUGGACCACCCACCACAGAGUCGAAUCCAAGGCGUCCCCUCUGUCCCCAUCUCUGCCCUGGACUUCACCAUUGCCAGCCACCCUGGCAGGGCUCUGUGAAUGGGAGGGGAGGCCUGCCUUAGCCGGAAGUUCUCCAGUGCCUCCGGCCCUGAUAUUGGGCUAGGAGGCUGGGAGAGAAGAGCUGGGAGGAGGCGAAGGCAGGAACGGGACACAGGGAAGAGUCCAUGCUGUGAGGUUUGAACCCUAGCCUCCCACAGAUUUGCUGUGUGACCUCGCACAGAUCACUACGCGUCUUAGUUUUUUCCUCUCGAACGCCUCCCACCCUGCAAGGGUGUUGUGAGGCUUUGGCAAGAUACAGUAUGUAGGAAAAUGCCUGGUGCACAGCCAAGGCCUAAUAAAUGCUGAGCUCCCUGGGGCAGCAGUGGUCUCCUGCAAAUCCCCAGGCACCAGAGCAGGGGGUGGGUGGGCACUGGGGUGUCUGGCCUGGCUGAGAUGGGGUUGGCCAUGGAGAUGGCUGCUGCCUAGCCACUGUGGCCUGUCCCCAGCCCCACUGCCACCAUGGCCCCUUGGAGCAUGCCAGGCACAAGGAAGAGCUGGGAAGAAAUUGUGAUGGAGGGGAGAUGCCCCCGCCGAGACCACCAUGAAGGGAAUGAGGAAGAGGGCCCCCGUUUGGUUCUGUCUCUGCUGCUCUAGGGAUCGACUGAUGGCCGUGACCUAGCAGCCAUCAGCCUGUGUGCUAAAUGACAAUGUCCAUCUUGAAAGAGCUGGAAUAGGGGAAGCACUGAGGGCAGGAUGCUCCACGCACAGGAGGUACCCGGAGGUUCCUGGCCUGCUUCCCUCCCGGGCUGCAAGCCUGGUCAGCUGGGAGGAGACAGCCCCUUUCACUCCUAAGGGGAGGAAGAAAGAAAACGAAAACAAGAGCUACAAAAGCAACCCGACAGCUGAGACACCAUCUGUGUUUUCCUUUUUCUUCUUUCUCUUCGUU
This 9434-nucleotide long non-coding RNA is filed under the name Homo sapiens (human). RNAcentral's name for it is "HSALNT0194724". Lineage: Eukaryota; Metazoa; Chordata; Mammalia; Primates; Hominidae. The record is from RNAcentral.